This 855-nucleotide ribosomal RNA is filed under the name Foraminifera environmental sample. RNAcentral describes it as "SSU rRNA". It matches the Rfam family "Eukaryotic small subunit ribosomal RNA", at positions 1159 to 1678 of the family's 1831-position model. The record is from RNAcentral. Lineage: Eukaryota; Foraminifera.
UAAGGGCACCACAAGAACGCGUGGAGCAUGUGGCUUAAUUUGACUCAACGCGGGAAAUCUUACCGGGUCCGGACACACUGAGGAUUGACAGGCGCAUGUAGUUUUUCUUUUUUUCUUUCGGGAGGAAAAGUGAAACUACUAUAAAUAUGCUAGUCCUUUCAUGAUUGUGUGAUAGGUGGUGCAUGGCCGUUCUUAGUUCGUGGAGUGAUCUGUCUGCUUAAUUGCGUUUCAGAAUAUAGGUUCUUAGAGGUUUUGUUGUUAUAGUGUGACCGUAGUUUCUUCGGAAAUUAUGUUGUCCCUGUAACUCAGCCCAUGAACCUUGAAGGUAACGAACGUGACCGCAACCUCUUGUUGCCUUUCUUUCAUCCCUUUGGAUGAACUACUGCCUCGUGAUUUUUUCUGUUAUUAAAACAACAGAAGUCAUGGGGAUUAGUAGAGCGGAGCGCAAACUAGAGGGACCGCCGACCUUUUUAAAACGGAGGAAGGUUGCGGCAAUAACAGGUCUGUGAUGCCCUUAGAUGUUCCGGGCUGCACACGUGCUACAAUGAUUGUUGCAGUGAGCAUCUUAAAAGUUCGUGCAGUAGAAAUUUUCGGAUUUUUACUGUUUAACGACAUACCUAUUCGAAAGUAAGUAGGUAAUCAAUUCGAAGUAACGAUUUCCUUUGCACAGUCAUAUAUCUCAAAAGUUUUUUUUCUUUUUAGAAAAUUAAUUUUUGGGAUGUGCUUCCAUUAAUUCAUGGUGGGGACAGACCAUUGAAAUUGUUGGUCUCGCUUUAACUAGGAAUGCCUUGUAGGAGUCAUGGUUCAACAGACCACUCCGAAUAUGUCCCUGCCCUUUGUACACACCGCCCGUCA